AUUGAACGCUGGCCGGAGACCUAACACAUGCAAGUCGCACGAGUGGCGGCCGGGUGGGUCAUGUCUGGGCAACUGCCCGCUGUAGGGGGAUAACUACUUGCAACGGUAGCUAAUCACGCCUACCAUCAGAUGUCCCCAGAGGGGACUAGCUAGUUGGUGGGGUAACGGCUCACCAAGUCGACGAUCCCUAGCUGGUCUGAGAGGAUGACCAGGAACUAUGGAAGUGAGACACUGUCCAGACGGCUAAGAGAGGCAGCAGUGGGGAAUAUGGGAAAACGGGCACAAGCCUGAAGCAGCCAUGCCGCGGGUAUGAAGGAGGCCUUGGGUUUGUAAAGUACGUGCGGAGGGGAGGCGUAACUCGCAAAAGAAGCGCAGGCUAACUCCGUGCCGGCAGCCGCGGUAAUUC
Molecule: ribosomal RNA, 406 nt
Filed under: uncultured bacterium
Lineage: Bacteria
Description: partial 16S ribosomal RNA
Rfam family: Bacterial small subunit ribosomal RNA
Source: RNAcentral